RNAcentral lists this long non-coding RNA (215 nucleotides) under Vigna radiata. Its description in RNAcentral is "long non-coding RNA (VRAD_LNC011868)". Lineage: Eukaryota; Viridiplantae; Streptophyta; Magnoliopsida; Fabales; Fabaceae. The record is from RNAcentral.
GAUCCAUAAACAUUAGUAUAAAUAAUACAUUCUAUGAGAUAUGUUAAUUACUUUUAUUAAUUACUGUAUUUAUUGUUUGUUAACUAACUUGGUUAAUUUUGGUGUCAAAAUGUCUUCUUUAGACACAACUUUUACACACUUAAAAAAGACUAGUACUCUAAAGAAAAAAAAGUAUCUUUUGAAAUUGAAAACUUAAAAUGUUUAAAGUGUUUUUU